Macaca fascicularis (crab-eating macaque) is the source of this 148-nucleotide unclassified non-coding RNA. It matches the Rfam family "Metazoan signal recognition particle RNA". From Rfam's summary of the family: The signal recognition particle (SRP) is a universally conserved ribonucleoprotein. It is involved in the co-translational targeting of proteins to membranes. NCBI's taxonomy places the organism in Eukaryota, Metazoa, Chordata, Mammalia, Primates, Cercopithecidae. The record is from Ensembl.
GCUGGGCAUGGUGGUGGGUGCCUGUAGUCCCAGCUACUUGGGAGGCUGAGGCAGGAGAAUCGUUUGAACCCGGGAGGCAGAGGUUGCAGUGAGCCAAGAUCACGCCACUGCACUCCAGCCUGGGUGACAGAAUGAGAUUCUGUCUCAA